This 371-nucleotide ribosomal RNA is filed under the name uncultured bacterium. RNAcentral describes it as "bacterial SSU rRNA". It matches the Rfam family "Bacterial small subunit ribosomal RNA", at positions 29 to 403 of the family's 1533-position model. The record is from RNAcentral.
AUUGAACGCUGGCGGCAUGCCUUACACAUGCAAGUCGAACGGCAGCACGGGGGCAACCCUGGUGGCGAGUGGCGAACGGGUGAGUAACACAUCGGAACGUGCCCAGUAGUGGGGGAUAGCUCGGCGAAAGCCGGAUUAAUACCGCAUACGACCUACGGGUGAAAGCGGGGGAUCGCAAGACCUCGCGCUAUCGGAGCGGCCGAUGUCAGAUUAGGUUGUUGGGGGGUAAAGGCCUACCAAGCCGACGAUCUGUAGCUGGUCUGAGAGGACGACCAGCCACACUGGGACUGAGACACGGCCCAGACUCCUACGGGAGGCAGCAGUGGGGAAUUUGGACAAUGGGCGCAAGCCUGAUCCAGCCAUGCCGCGUG